Acanthochromis polyacanthus (spiny chromis) is the source of this 733-nucleotide long non-coding RNA. RefSeq lists it as uncharacterized. Lineage: Eukaryota; Metazoa; Chordata; Actinopteri; Pomacentridae. The transcript is spliced from 3 exons. The record is from RefSeq and is a predicted model, not a curated record.
AAUAGCGGCCUCGAACACUGCUCUUUGAAGUGUCCUGGUGGAGAAAACAAUGUCACCAUGACGCCGCUCGGGGACGGCUGUCCUCUUGGUCCGGUCGUCAUACUUACAGUUCAGCAGCAGAAAGAACCAGAUGCCAGAGCACUGUGCCGCAUAUUCGUGUUCAAAUCGCCGGAUCGUCGAAAACAGGGCACGAGGGAUUACUUUUCACAAGUGAUGUGUGCCGUGUAAGCUUGGUCAGAGAUGCUGUACCAUCAUCAUUUGACGAGAACUCCCACCUUCUAGCUCUGAAAAACAAUGGCGGCCUACUGAUUCCAUCACAAGGCACAGUGAAGGUGCUGAGAGUUGCAGAGAGCUUGAUUUGCCAGGCUUCAGCAAAACAAGCUCCAAAGGUGUCAACAGUCUGGGAGGAGAUUGGAAUGGAGGUGGUUUUUCUGCUUGGGGAACACAUUGAAGAAACAGUUUGGUAUCGACAGCCAUCCUUCCAGCUUGUUGUCAUUGGUUGUGUCCGUGGCUGCACCAUGUUCCCAGACUUACCUGUCUUGAUCUGCAGAAAGGGAGCACGAGAAAGAAGCUCUGCAAAACAGUCCUCGUUCAUUGGUUUUAGCUGUAAAACGUUUGUACAUGUGUAAAUGUGGUUUAGGGCAGGGAUGUCAUGUUCUUGUGUUAACUUGAGAAUUCACAUUUACAUUACAUUUUAUUCUCUCUGCUUUGUACAUCUAUAUGAUAUAUAUAU